Molecule: RNA transcript, 5485 nt
Organism: Xyrauchen texanus (razorback sucker)
Lineage: Eukaryota; Metazoa; Chordata; Actinopteri; Cypriniformes; Catostomidae
Gene name: gastrula zinc finger protein XlCGF7.1-like
Exons: 4
Source: RefSeq, a predicted model, not a curated record
UGGAUCUUCAGUCUGUUGAGAGACUUUUGGGGGGGGGAUCAGUUUUCUUCUCUUUUCCUACAUAUGGAGAUCUAGUUGUGUAAAGAAGUGAAGAAACAUUGUUUUUUAUUUGGAUUCUGCCUGUUUAAUGAGGUUUCACUGAAAUAUGAACAAAUGAAAGAAGACUCGUGCUGUAAGUAAUGAAAUUGAAUGAAAUCUGCUUGACAUGCUACUGAAGAUGGAGUUUGUUAAAGAGGAGAGUGAAGACAUCAGUAUUUCUGAGCAAUUCAGACUGAAGAAUGAAGAUAUUGAAGAACAAAAAGGGGAACCUUGUAAGACUGUCCUCUCUGCCUUUCAUUGUUCUAUCUUGCCCUGAAACCAUUAGCAGCCACAGUAAGAAAAGAGGAUGAAUUUCCUGGCAUUGAAGCAGGAGGAUGCCUAAUAUUGUGUAGAUCCCUCUUGUGCCGCCAAAAAAGCGCCAACCUGCAUUUCAGAAUAGCAUUCUGAGAGGGGCCUGGGUAGCCCAGCAAGUAAAGACGCUGACUACCAUACCUGGAGUAGCAAGUUCGAAUCAAGGGCAUGCUGAGUGACUCCAGUCAGAAUUCUUAAGCAACCAAUUGGCCCGGUUGCUAGGGUGGGUAGAGUCAUGUUGGGUUAACCUCCUCGUGAUCGCUAUAAUGUGGUUUUCGCUAUUGGUGGGGCAUGUGGUGAGUUGUGCGUGGACGCCGUUGAGAAUAGCUUGAAGCCUCCACAUGCACUAGGUCUUCCUGUUAACGCUCAAGAAGCCACGUUGGGGUAGUAUUCUGAGAUGAGAGUCUUCUCACCACCAAUGUACAGAGGGGUUGUCUGAGUUACUGUAAACUUGGGCAUUUCCAUCCACAGAAAUGCUGCUCACUGGAUGUUUUUUGCAGUUACAGAAAUACUCAAACCAGCCCAUCUGGUACCAACAAAAACAGGCCACUGUCCAAAUCACUGAGAUCACAUUUCAUCCUCAUUCUGAUGGUUGAUGUGAACAUUAACUGAAGCUCCUUACCCAUAUCUGCAUGAUUUUAUGCACUGCACUGCUGCCACACGAUUGGCUGAUUAUAUAAUCGCAUUGAUGAUCAUUGGUGUCAGACAGGCUGGUUUGAGUAUUUCUGUUAGUGCUGAUCUUCUGGGACUUUCACACACCACAUUCUCUAGAAUUUACUCCGAAUGGGGCCAAAUACAAAAAAACAUCCUGUGAGCUUCAGUUCUGUGGACGGAUAUUCCUUGUUGAUGAGAGAGGUCACCAAAGAAUGGCAAGACUGGUUCAAACUGACAAAGUCUACGGUAACUCCGAAAACUGGCCUGAACAAUUGUGGUGAGAAGAAUAGCAUCUAAGAAUGCUACCAAUACCAAAACACGUUGGCCACAUUUAUUGGCACCCCUUGAAAUUCGUAUGAGUAAAAUAUAUCUUAAGUAUGCUCCCAUUCAUAUUUUGCAGUUUUUGGUGCACCUGGAUGACUAGGAACAUGAAAUUGUUCAGCCAUGACUUCCUGUUUCACAGGAGUAUAAAUAUGAGGUAACACACAGGUAAAGUUCCCUUAAUCAUCAGUCACUGUGGUUUAGACUAAAGAAUACAGUUCUGAUGUGGCAAAAGGUUGUUGAGCUUCACAAAAUGGGAAGUGGCUGUAAGAAAAUAGCCAAAGCAUUGAAAAUACCCAUUUUCACCAUCAGGGCAAAAAUUAACAUGUUCCAAUAUUGAGAAUCAGACUGGAAAAGGACGUGUGUCUAUAUUGUCUCCACGCACAGUGAGGGGGAUGGUUCAAAUUGCCAAAGAAUCUCCAAGGAUCACAGAUAGAGAAUUGCAGAAAUUAGUUGGGUCUUGGGGUCAGAAAGUCUAAAAAAAAAAAAAUAUUACCAGACAUCACCUACUAUCACUACUUGUUGUUUGGGAGGAUUUCAAGAAAAAACCCUCUGCUCUCAUCUAACAACAAACCCAAGCGUCUUCAGUUUGCCAAACGUUACUGGAGCUUCAAAUGCGACCAGGUUCUAUGUUCAGAUGGAACACCAGAGAUGAAGUACCCGAUGCCCAUGGUUCUGGAUCUGAAAUGUGGGGCUGGAUCUUUAAUGUUGUGGGGCUGUUUUUCUGCCAGAGGUCCUGGACAUCUUGUUUGGAUACAUGGUGUUAUGGACUCUAUCAAAUACCAACAGAUAGAAAAUCUAAACCUGACUGCCUCUGCCAGAAAGCUUACAAUGGGCUGUGGUUGGAUCUUCCAGCAGGACAAUGAUCAAUACAAACAUCAAAAUCAACACACAAAUUGUUCAAUGACCACAAAAUCAAGGUUCUUCCAUGACCAUCCCAGUCUCCUGACCUGAACCCCAUAGAAAACCUGUGGGGUGAACUGAAGAAGAGAGACCACCAACAUGGACCUCUGAAUUUGAAGGAUCUGCAGAGAUUCUUUAUGGACGAAUGGUCUCAGAUCCCUCGCCAGGUGUCCUCAUUAGGCAUUAUAAGAGAAGACUCCGAGCUGUUAUCUUGGCAAAGGGUGGUUGCAUAAAGUAUUGAUUAAAGGGUGCCAAUAAUUAUGGACAAUGCAUUUUGAAGAAAAAAAUAUUUUUUUAAUGAGAUUUCCCAUGUUUUAAUUGUUUUACUUCAAUUAAAGGUUAGAUUUGUUUUUAUGAAAGAUCAAAAGGAUAAACUGCAGAUUUUUUUUCACAGCCUUCUUUGCUCAUAUUUACCAAGGGUGCCAAUAUUUUUUGCCACCACUGUACAGUAUAUACUGUAUAUACACUACUGGUCAAAAUUUUUUAAACACUUAAAGUCAUCAAAACUAUGGAAUAACAUAAAUGGAACUAUGGGAAUUAUGUUUUGACUAAACAAAAUCCAAAAUAAAUAAAAACUGUUUUAAAUAUGUUAAAAUAUUUUAGAAUCUUCAAUGUAGUCACCCUUUGCCUAGAAUUUGGCCAACUUCUUGAGGUAUCACCCUGGGAUGCUUUUUAAACUGUAUUGAAGGAGUUCCCAUCUAUGUUGGGCACUUACUGGCUUCUUUUCUUCAAAUUCAUCAAUUUCAAAAACUUUUUCUUUCAAUUACAUUUUAGUUUUAUUAUAAAAUAAAUUAAUAUGAUGGCGCAAUUCUAUUUUUGUCUACAAAACUAAUUUAAAACAUUUAAGCAUACGCCUUAAGAUCAAAAGAUUUUUAAGAUCAUGAGAAACAUUUCAGUCGUGUUUCAAAAGUUUUGACCGGUAGUGUAUAUGGUACAUUUUCAAAAGGGCAAAUGCAUGUUUAAGUUUAGCAAGCUGAAUUUCCCCCCAUUCAUCCAUUAUGCAGGUCUUCAGCUGCACAAUUGAGCAGAGACAAGAAAUGGGUCAGGACUCCUGACAGGCCAAUCUAGCACCCAAACUUUCUGCUUACACAGCUAUGCACUUCUAAUCAGGGCAGUAUGUGGUUUGGCCUUGUCCUGCUAAAAAAAGAAAAGGCAGAGAUGUCCCUGGAAAAGACGGCAUCGGGACGGCACCUUAUGUUGCUCAAAUUUUUUAUAUAUCUUUCUGCAUUAAUGGAGUCCUCACAGGUGUGCAAGUUACACAGUCUGCACAGUGGAUGUUUACACAGUGUGUUUAACCCUCCUAUGGUGGAGAACACGUGAUCAGCUAGAUUAUAUAGUGGCAUAUAUCGAUUCUCCUCACCCAGUACUGUUUAUUUGGCCUGUAUUUUCUGUGAAGCCAUUGCAGAGUCAGUGUUGGAGAGGCAGCAUGACCUUGACUCACGCUUUGAUCAACUUCAACAUUAUGUGGGAAUGUCCACGUCUGAGGUAGUGUCCAUAUUAUCUGAUUUGGUUUCAGCAGUGGUGACUGUAACUGUCCAUGUCUUAUAAGCUAACGGACUUAAACAUCAACAAUCUGCAUAGGCAUAUAGUACUAGUUGGCCUCAAAGCUGCUAAAAAGAUGAUUGCAAUGUGAUGGUAACCCCUCAUUCUCUUUCUGUUAAACGUCAGAUCUUCACAUUUUGGGGUUUUAUCUAGAAUUGUCUACUGCUUGAGUUAAUGGUGCGAAUGAUAAAACCCUCUGUAGUUUGCACACUGUUGCUGAGUCACUGAAAGACUUCAGGUGAUCUCUUUGCGUAAUUUAAAUAAUUUGAGCUCCUGAAGUCUUACGUUUUUCCCUUUUGUGUGUGUGUGUGUGUGUGUGUCAUCGGAGUCAUGUGAGUGCAGUGAUUUUGUACCUCUCUCUUUCCCUUCCUUACUUAUUCUUACUGCGUGUGUUUUGUUGCAUCUGUUUUGUUGUAAAUUUGUAAUGCCUUAUAAUAUUGUUGAUACUUGUUUUUCUACUUAAUAAACAUUUGAUUGCAAAUAAUAAAAAAACUCUCCUAUGGUCUUCUGUCAUUUUUGACAAGAAUCACUUUUGCUGAUUUAUUAAAAGUGGUUUCCCUUAUCUGAGCUGGACAAGACUUGGUGGGUGUUCCUCCACAUGCUAUCAAAACUAUAUAUAUAAAAAAAUGUAUAAACGAAAACAAAGACUUCUUAUUAAAGUCUUAGUGGUCAUGUAAAAACAAAUAAAGCAACACCUUUGGUCUUUGCAGUUAAAAUUGACGACCAUUGAAAAUGAAUAGGAAAGCAUAUUUUUUUUUUAUGUUUUACACAAAUUAAUUAAUCGUUUUUGUUUUGUCAAAUAAAUCAGCCACAAUGCUAAACUCACACUCCGAAAUGAGGGGGUAAGGCAAUAACACACUCACAAUGCAGAACACACUCACACAAACACAGAAAAAAUGUGUGAGAAUAAACCAACCAGGAAGCAGAACACACACACACACACACACACACAGACAGAAUAAAGGUGUGUGUGGACUAUCUCCCAAGAGACAUUAAAGGCACAGCAUGGUGUACAAAAAAAAAGGUCUCCAUAGAACACUGCAGCCGUCUAUUGCUAUUAUUGCAACAACAUUAUUUUCAAGUCAUGUUAUUUAUAUUUUAUUACUUCAAGGAAGAAGAAAUGGUAUCUUUAUCAUCAUCAUCAAUAAAAGUUACACCUUUGCUCUUUCCUGUCAAAAAUGACCGGGAGGACCAAAAGUAGGGCUCAUUUAUGAAUCUCAUCAGAGGGUUAAUAAAGGCAUGAUAACAAUUGCUUUUGUGCUCCAAGUCGCCAAAGAUCGCUCGUGUCGCCACAAGUCGCCAGCUCUCAAUUAAAAAUGAAUGUGAUUACGUCGCUGUUGUUAGACACUUCAUGUGUGAACGGGCCUAAAUUAAGUCUAUUAGUAUUCUUUAUAUAGUGCUUAUUUUUAAUUUCUGCAAGUUUCAUGUGACAGAAUUGGAGAGAAAAGUCAGAGGCAGUUGUUCAGCCUGUCACCCGUCUUCCUUUCUGAAUUGGUCGUAUAAACAGACGUAACAAAAAAACAUGAAUUCAGUUUCCUGUGUGUGAGAGCUUCUUAACAGUGCACAGAUAAAGUUUUCCAGAAUAGUUUGUAAGAAUCUCUGUUGCUUUCUUCUAAUGAUCUUGUUUACCUUUUCUCUUUGAAUUUCACAUUUGUGUCUCUUGUAUUGAUUUUUG